Molecule: non-coding RNA, 76 nt
Organism: Potamilus streckersoni
Lineage: Eukaryota; Metazoa; Mollusca; Bivalvia; Unionida; Unionidae
Source: the annotation of a GenBank genome assembly
GACCGCUCCAGUGGCCUAAUGGUUAGAGCAUUCAAUUCGGAUGCGGAGGACUUGGGUUCGAACCCCGGUUGCGUCA